Molecule: non-coding RNA, 28 nt
Filed under: Mus musculus (house mouse)
Lineage: Eukaryota; Metazoa; Chordata; Mammalia; Rodentia; Muridae
Source: RNAcentral
UAUAUCAAGUGGGAGCCUAGCACAGCUG